RNAcentral lists this ribosomal RNA (253 nucleotides) under uncultured bacterium. RNAcentral describes it as "partial 16S ribosomal RNA". It matches the Rfam family "Bacterial small subunit ribosomal RNA", at positions 524 to 776 of the family's 1533-position model. The record is from RNAcentral.
UACAGAGGGUGCGAGCGUUAAUCGGAAUUACUGGGCGUAAAGCGUGCGUAGACGGCUAUCUAAGUCGGGUGUGAAAUCCCCAGGCCUAACCUGGGAACUGCAUUCGAGACUGCAUGGCUAGAGUAUCGGAGAGGGAAGUGGAAUUUCAGGUGUAGCGGUGAAAUGCGUAGAUAUCUGAAGGAACAUCAGUGGCGAAAGCGACUUCCUGGACGAAUACUGACGCUCAUGUGCGAAAGCGUGGGGAGCAAACAGG